GACGAACGCUGGCGGCGUGCUUAACACAUGCAAGUCGAACGGAAAGGCCCUGCUUGCGGGGUCCUCGAGUGGCGAACGGGUGAGUAACACGUGGGUGAUCUGCCCUGCACUUCGGGAUAAGCCUGGGAAACUGGGUCUAAUACCGGGUAGGAGCCAUUUUUAGUGUGAUGGUUGGAAAGUUUUUUCGGUGUAGGAUGAGCUCGCGGCCUAUCAGCUUGUUGGUGGGGUAAUGGCCUACCAAGGCGGCGACGGGUAGCCGGCCUGAGAGGGUGGACGGCCACAGUGGGACUGAGAUACGGCCCAGACUCCGACGGGAGGCAGCAGGGGGGAAGAGUGCACAAGGGGCGCAAGCCUGAUGCAGCGACGCCGCGGGGGGGAGGACGGCCUUCGGGUUGGAAACUCCUUUCGCUAGGGACGGAGCUGUUUGUGACGGUACCUAGAUAAGAAGCACCGGCUAACUACGUG
This 465-nucleotide ribosomal RNA is filed under the name uncultured bacterium. Its description in RNAcentral is "partial 16S ribosomal RNA". It matches the Rfam family "Bacterial small subunit ribosomal RNA", at positions 28 to 507 of the family's 1533-position model. The record is from RNAcentral.